Long non-coding RNA from Diceros bicornis minor, 486 nucleotides. RefSeq lists it as uncharacterized. The transcript has 2 exons. NCBI's taxonomy places the organism in Eukaryota, Metazoa, Chordata, Mammalia, Perissodactyla, Rhinocerotidae. The record is from RefSeq and is a predicted model, not a curated record.
UGGAGCUGUGAAGACCAGGCCUGCAAGUGAUGGAACUUUCCAGAAGUGGGCACCUGUGGUGGUACAUUCUAGAGAGGAGCAGAAAUACACAUGUCAUAUGCAGCCUGAGGGGCUGCCUGAGCUCCUCAUCCUGAGAUGGGCUUGAGAGAGCUGCCUUGUGUGGGACAGGACUGGUGAGACAUGAAUUAUUCACACUUCUGCUUUACUUCUCUGUGGACUCUUGACUUCUUUUCUUCCAAAUGGUCUCCGAAUAUCUCUGUGCUGCUCUCAGUUUAAUAAUUAUAUGAAGUAGGGGGAAGAGUCCAUUUCCAAGCAUAUGCCCACCCCUCCGCCAUACUCUCUGCACCCCAGACCUGUGGUUCCCUACCCCUAGACCACCUUUCCUUUUCCAGGGGAGAUGGAGCUAAGAACUCUCCCUCCCUAUCCUUGAUCAUGGACUUCUUAGCCUCCAGAACUGUGAAAAAUAAAUUUCUGUUGUUUAAGCCA